RNAcentral lists this long non-coding RNA (924 nucleotides) under Salmo salar (Atlantic salmon). RNAcentral describes it as "lncRNA (ENSSSAG00000096058.1)". The record is from RNAcentral. Lineage: Eukaryota; Metazoa; Chordata; Actinopteri; Salmoniformes; Salmonidae.
GUUCGUCAAGCCUACCAGAGGUUUUCCCCUUGCUCUUGUCUUUUCUAUAGUUCCUGUUUUCUAGUUUUGAUCAUUCUGCCUGCCGUCUUGUACCUUGCCCCACCACUAUCAGGAAUCUAGGGGCGUAACACAGGCAGAUUGGACAGGCAGGCAGGCUCAGAGACAGGAAAGGCAAGGGUCAAAACCAGGAGGGCGAGAAAAAGGAGAGACUGGGAAAAGCAGGAGCUGAGAACAAAAACGCCUGUUGACUUGACGAACUGGCAACGGACAAACAGAGAACACAGGGACUCCAAGAUUCAACGUUGUCUACGCAAAACAAUCACGGCCAGUAUCAGCCCACCACUCAAAGAUUCAGCAAUGACCUGAUGGAGUCCGUCCUGGAGAGACGCAAGGACAAAUACUGGGAGCUCAAAUCCUGUGGAAGAGGCCGUUGUCUGGCUUCCAACAUUGCCCCAUCCCAAAACCCAGUGAGGAGGUCAUUAUUGGUUUAUUCACAUCUCCAUUUGCUUUUGUAGAAGCAGCAGCUAUUCUUCCUGGGAUCCACAAAAAAACACGACAAGUAACAAAACACUGAUACACAUAGAUCAUUGCAGCACACUAUUCUAACACCCCCAACUCCCACCGUAUCCACGGACAUGGUUUGCCUUGCACUAUUACCUAAUAUAAACACACUCUAAUGUAACAUAAAUUGUUAGCCUCUGGUCAUUAUCACUCUGCGUCUAUGGAUUAACAAAAAAAAAUGUUUUACUAUAGGCUACUACUGUACAUAACAGCACCGCCAUGACUACGUUAUACUGUCUAUUUUAUUGUAGAUUUGAACCUUUUAUUUAUGUGAAGUGUCUGAAUGCCUUCUCUAUACUGUGUAUUGUACAUUAUGUGCAGUGAUCUGUAUUGUGUUGAAAAAAAUAAAUAUGUCUUUGCCAG